AUUGAACGCUGGCGGCAUGCUUUACACAUGCAAGUCGAGCGGCAGCGCGGGGGGCAACCUUGGCGGCGAGCGGCGAACGGGUGAGUAAUGCAUCGGAACGUAUCCUGUAGUGGGGAAUAACUCACCGAAAGGUGAGCUAAUACCGCAUAAGCUCUGAGGAGGAAAGCGGGGGACCGAAAGGCCUCGCGCUGCAGGAGCGGCCGAUGUCCGAUUAGCUAGUUGGUGAGGUAAAGGCUCACCAAGGCGACGAUCGGUAGCUGGUCUGAGAGGAUGAUCAGCCACACUGGGACUGAGACACGGCCCAGACUCCUACGGGAGGCAGCAGUGGGGAAUUUUGGACAAUGGGGGAAACCCUGAUCCAGCCAUGCCGCGUGAGUGAAGAAGGCC
Molecule: ribosomal RNA, 387 nt
Filed under: uncultured bacterium
Lineage: Bacteria
Description: bacterial SSU rRNA
Rfam family: Bacterial small subunit ribosomal RNA
Source: RNAcentral